UUAUUUUUGUACAAUAAAAUACGGUAUAACUACAAUUUUGCAAAGACUCAAUCAGUUUUCCAAGCAAGUCAAUACAUGCAAUAACAAAAAAAAUUUGGGACAAGACAAUGUUUAAAAAACGUGACCAAAGAAAAGAAAAGAAAAUGUACUUGUAAUCGACACUGGAGAAAAAUGGACUCUCCAGAAGAAAUUGUCACAUGGAAAUGUCUUGGGCAGAUUAAAAAGAAGAAGUAACUGUGCCAGGAAGCAGUUCCAGUCAUUUGCAGCAACAGGACUGUGAUGAAUAGAACUUUAAUAUGAAUUGAAUCAAAAUAUAGAAUUUAACAAACUUGUGUCAGAUGAUAUACUCUUAUGAUGCUAUUGAAGGACAUCAAUGAUGAGAAAGAAGUAAAGGAAAAGACAAUAAAUGACAGCAUAUCAAA
Mytilus trossulus (common blue mussel) is the source of this 422-nucleotide long non-coding RNA. RefSeq lists it as uncharacterized. NCBI's taxonomy places the organism in Eukaryota, Metazoa, Mollusca, Bivalvia, Mytilida, Mytilidae. The record is from RefSeq and is a predicted model, not a curated record. The transcript is spliced from 3 exons.